Molecule: long non-coding RNA, 2543 nt
Filed under: Olea europaea subsp. europaea
Lineage: Eukaryota; Viridiplantae; Streptophyta; Magnoliopsida; Lamiales; Oleaceae
Source: RNAcentral
CACAAGUACCGCUUUCAAUCUAUCUAACCCAGAAUCUAGAUAUCAUCAGAUUAGUAUACCUCCCCACCCAUCAGAUUAUUCACCUCCUUCAUUAACUUCCAAAAUUUGCAUGAAGAAUUUUUUUCAAACAGAAAGCCAAGCCAACUUCUCUCAACUACAAGCAAGAUUGCUCAAAAACCCAAUGAAUCAUUUUUUACAUGACAACCCACUUCCCUGAUUCUAUGGUAAAUGAAAAACAAACUUCGGUGCUAUUUUUGCUGAAAUGACUCAUCAACAAUUAAAGGACAUCAAAUGAUUUCUGCAUGAGCACUAUCAUCUUCUAAUGGGAAACAUUUCUCCCCAGAAAUUUCAAUCCCUAAAACUCAUAUUUGGCAGACCCCAUCGGAUUUCACCUCUUUGACUAACUUCAAAAUUUGUGUCCACGAUUUUCUUUCACAAAGAAAGCCAAGUCAACGUCUAUCAACUGCAAGCGCAACACGACGAAUCAUUGUGAGAAAAUGUCACAUCUAACUACAUAUUCGAAAGCGAUUAAGGUCGGUGCAAGACUAUAAUAAACCUCAGCUCACAAUACCAAUUUUUUUUUUUUCCAGAAAUCAAAUCCAAGAUGGAUGCCUCUCAGCCUGGGGGACUCUGGAGUAAUGCGGUCAGUGAGAGAUCAAUGCACUCUUAAUUUACUGAAAUUAAUUCAUUUCUAACAGGCUGCCACCACAACUAACAAGUAAUUUUAGUAAAUUUUAGCCAGAUUCAUUGUGAAGUUAACAUAAAAGUUAAUUUGCUAGAUGCAGUUCCACAAUCAUGAAGAAAUAUAUAGAAUAAACAUUGCAUAUUCUAACAAAACAAGCAUAAGUCCUCCUAUAAACCUCAACUCAAUAGAAUCAUUAGUCAACAUUAGCUCCUGAAAAGAAUUAAAAACAAUUUAGCAGUCUGAAUUUUGGGUUCAGAAAAAAAACUGCCUGGUGCAUAAUUAAAGCCAAGAAGUUCCACUUCCACAAAAAUUAACUUAUUCCACAAAAUAGAUGUAAACAAACAAGACAGGCAAAGUGAUCGCCUUGUCAUUCAAGUUAGUUAUUAACAACUACAUUGAUUGAUGGAGAAUAGUAAUCCGGGACCUAGGACCACUUGCUCAGUUAAGAAAAGAAAAUCAUCACCUGUGGCAAUCGAAGAGGCCAGGUUCUGAGAAAAAUCACAGCAGAAUGACAUCGAUUUAACUCAAAAACAUCCAUAAGACUGAAUUAAGAUGCUUCAAGGACUUAGUAGUCUAACAAAGUCAAUCUUUCUUUCCUGGCCAUCUUUUUUCUAUACAUUGACGGUUUCAUUUCACAACACCUAGUAAGAUGACAACAUCAAAAAUACAACACUAACUCCAAAACUACGUUGCCAUAACAAAAUUAUACCAUCAUUAUUCAGAUUACUAGAAAGAAAAGGAGGAAGCCCACAAACCAAAAAUGCUAAAACCAAUUCAUGCACAACAUUGAGAACUCACAAAAACUCUGUUUGCAGCUUGAGAAUUGCGGAGUAAAUUUUCCUCCUUGAACCAACAGCAUUGAUCCCCAUGCCUUUGAGAUCCUCCAGAGUUAACAUCGGCAGGACCACAUUAUCUACCUCAUGUAUCUGAAAAACUGGAGCGUAUCUUCCCAAUCCCAAGCCAACUAACCAGUCUCUCACCCCGUUGCUUGCUUCAUUAUGCUGAUCCUGCGAAUUGGCCUCGUUCUGAGUUAUUCCAUUGCUCUCCGAAACCCGGGUCCUACAUCCUUUCCUUUGUCUAUCCCAAAACUGCAAACCCAUAUUAUCUACUGAAUUAACCGGGCUCUGGUCUUUUAAUAAAGGACUCUCCGAACCCUCGGGCUCCAAAUCUUUAAACUCUCCGUUAUUAUUCUCGUUUUCUUCUUGAAAAGCAUUUGCGCUGUCAAUUACGCCUCCACCACAGCUGCCACUGACUCCAUUACUAAGUAUUGAGUCGAAUUUAUUCCAAUUGGUGCGAACCCGCUUGAUAGGCUUCUUGUUCUUGGACUUUCUGUGGAUGAAGUCCGCUGCCGCAGCAUAAUUCUCAGCGGGCUCAAAAGUAUUCCGGUAAUUUGAGUCCGUACCAUUGACAAGGUUGGUAAGGGGCCGAGUUUUGGAGGUCUUGGCGGCGAGGGAAGGGUCCUUGUGGAAGCGCCAGGUUUUGUUGGGGCGGCGAAGGUGGUGGUUGUUGGAAUCGUAAGGUGGGUCUCCACCGAUCUCGCCCAGGCGGACGCUGGGGCGCCGCUGGCGUUUGGGGGCCAGGCUAGGGCCCAGGUUGAUGUUGGCAACGUUGGUAGAUGAAGUUGGUAUAGUCGUUGUAGGAUGUUCGAUUGGAGGUCGGUCUGGAAAUGUCACCGCCGUGGUUGGUGGGUCGGAAGAAAUUAGGCCGUCCGGCGGCUGUAGCUCCGUCGCCAUCCCUUGUAGUGAAUGCAAGUGUAUCGGGGCUGAGAUGAAAGGAAAUAGGACGGUGGGCUUGUAUGUUCCAUCUCAAUUAUACAAGGCAAAAUUCACAAGCAUCACCCGUUUCAGCGAGAACAAAG